GCGCUAUAGUUCAACUGGCAGAGCAUCUGCAUGGUAAGCGGAAUGUCGCCGGUUCGAUUCCGGCUCGGACCGUU
RNAcentral lists this transfer RNA (74 nucleotides) under Fasciola gigantica. Its description in RNAcentral is "tRNA-Thr". The stretch from base 6 to 65 matches the Rfam family "tRNA", at positions 7 to 64 of the family's 71-position model. From Rfam's summary of the family: Transfer RNA (tRNA) molecules are approximately 80 nucleotides in length. Their secondary structure includes four short double-helical elements and three loops (D, anti-codon, and T loops). Lineage: Eukaryota; Metazoa; Platyhelminthes; Trematoda; Plagiorchiida; Fasciolidae. The record is from RNAcentral.